Long non-coding RNA from Penaeus monodon (black tiger shrimp), 541 nucleotides. RefSeq lists it as uncharacterized. The record is from RefSeq and is a predicted model, not a curated record. NCBI's taxonomy places the organism in Eukaryota, Metazoa, Arthropoda, Malacostraca, Decapoda, Penaeidae. The transcript has 2 exons.
UCAACUUCUUUCCCUAUUCGACACGGGCCACGAUUCUUCCUGAAGCUUUGGUAGACCACAGAAGAAAUGAAGACAAUGCCGGUAAAUUCACCAACAAGACCGUAUAUACUCUUGCAAUGUGGGAUUUUUGAGCAUUGGCGAAGGACGUGAGGAUGGAAAAGGACACAUAACUACAACAGAACUAGUGCUCACUGAACAACUCACGGAACAAGUACGGUGCCUAUGAACAAAACCACAGCUCUACGCUCUCCUAUACUCAAAACCCGACGUGACCCCAGACAUGUCGUGGGGGGGAGGGGAGAGGGAGAGGGGCGUGAGAACAGACAAGACUGCGACACAUCUCAAUCUACGGGCGCUACCUCUGAGUGCACUCUUUGCUCACCUCACUCUUUCCGAGCACCUUGUCGAGACUUGGCGUUCCCAGAAACUACGAUCCAAUGCAUACCUCAUAAUCUUGAUCUGGUAAGGAAGAAGCCAACAUCAAUCCAAGGGUGAAUAAGGAAUCCUCCCCAUUUUCCAAAAAUAAAGAGAACACAUACUA